UACGUAUGGUGCAAGCGUUAUCCGGAUUUACUGGGUGUAAAGGGAGCGCAGGCGGUACGGCAAGUCUGAUGUGAAAGCCCGGGGCUCAACCCCGGUACUGCAUUGGAAACUGUCGGACUAGAGUGUCGGAGGGGUAAGUGGAAUUCCUAGCGUAGCGGUGAAAUGCGUAGAUAUUAGGAGGAACACCAGUGGCGAAGGCGGCUUACUGGACGAUUACUGACGCUGAGGCUCGAAAGCGUGGGGAGCAAACAGG
RNAcentral lists this ribosomal RNA (253 nucleotides) under uncultured bacterium. RNAcentral describes it as "partial 16S ribosomal RNA". It matches the Rfam family "Bacterial small subunit ribosomal RNA", at positions 524 to 776 of the family's 1533-position model. The record is from RNAcentral.